RNAcentral lists this ribosomal RNA (324 nucleotides) under uncultured soil bacterium. RNAcentral's name for it is "bacterial SSU rRNA". It matches the Rfam family "Bacterial small subunit ribosomal RNA", at positions 26 to 342 of the family's 1533-position model. The record is from RNAcentral.
AGAGUGAACGCUGGCGGUAGGCCUAACACAUGCAAGUCGAACGGCAGCACAGUAGGAGCUUGCUCUUACGGGUGGCGAGUGGCGGACGGGUGAGGAAUACAUCGGAAUCUACCUUUUGGUGGGGGAUAACGUAGGGAAACUUACGCUAAUACCGCAUACGCCCUUCGGGGGAAAGCCGGGGACCAGCAAUGGCCUGGCGCUGAUAGAUGAGCCGAUGUCGGAUUAGCUAGUUGGUGAGGUAAUGGCUCACCAAGGCGACGAUCCGUAGCUGGUCUGAGAGGAUGAUCAGCCACACUGGAACUGAGACACGGUCCAGACCUCCGU